This 443-nucleotide ribosomal RNA is filed under the name uncultured bacterium. RNAcentral's name for it is "partial 16S ribosomal RNA". It matches the Rfam family "Bacterial small subunit ribosomal RNA", at positions 338 to 795 of the family's 1533-position model. The record is from RNAcentral.
CCUACGGGUGGCUGCAGUGGGGAAUAUUGGGCAAUGGGCGCAAGCCUGACCCAGCAACGCCGCGUGGAGGAAGAAGUCUUUCGGGUUGUAAACUUCUUUUCUCAGGGACGAAGAAAGUGACGGUACCUGAGGAAUAAGCCACCGCUAACUACGUGCCAGCAGCCGCGGUAAUACGUAGGGGGCAAGCGGUAUCCGGAUUUACUGGGUGUAAAGGGCGUGUAGGCGGGUGCGCAAGUCAGAUGUGAAAACUCAGGGCUCAACCCUGAGCCUGCAUUUGAAACUGUGUUUCUUGAGUGCUGGAGAGGCAGGCGGAAUUCCGUGUGUAGCGGUGAAAUGCGUAGAUAUCCGGAGGAACACCAGUGGCGAAGGCGGAUUGCUGGACAGCAACUGACGCUGAGGCGCGAAAGCGUGGGGAGCAAACAGGAUUAGAUACCCGAGUAGUC